AGCGAACGUUAGCGGCGGGCUUAACACAUGCAAGUCGAGCGAGAACGGGGCAACCCUAGUACAGCGGCGGACGGGUGAGUAACACGUAGGUAACUUUCCCUUGAGCGGGGGACAACGGUCCGAAAGGACCGCUAAUACCGCAUACGUUCUUCUGGUCUUAGGGCUGGGAGAGGAAAGCUAGGCUAGCAAUAGUCCGGCACUCAAGGAGAGGCCUGCGUAGCAUCAGCUAGUUGGUGGGGUAAUGGCCUACCAAGGCAAAGACGCUUAGCUGGUCUGAGAGGAUGAUCAGCCACACUGGGACUGAGACACGGCCCAGACUCCUACGGGAGGCAGCAGUGGGGAAUAUUGGACAAUGGGCGCAAGCCUGAUCCAGCCACGCCGCGUGAGUGAUGAAGGCCUUC
Molecule: ribosomal RNA, 401 nt
Filed under: uncultured bacterium
Lineage: Bacteria
Description: bacterial SSU rRNA
Rfam family: Bacterial small subunit ribosomal RNA
Source: RNAcentral